Molecule: non-coding RNA, 297 nt
Organism: Callorhinus ursinus (northern fur seal)
Lineage: Eukaryota; Metazoa; Chordata; Mammalia; Carnivora; Otariidae
Source: RefSeq, a predicted model, not a curated record
UCAAAAGGUACUCAUUCCUUGUUGCCCUCAGUUCCUAUAACGUUCUGGUGAUCUUCAACUUUGAUGCUACAGUCUGGGUUCCUGGCUAUACUAAAAUGUUGAAUUUGGUUCCAUUCUCAGCUGUAAUUUCUUAGAUCAAGGACAAUUUGCUGAGUCAUUGCUCGGCGAGGAUUCUAAGAGCUUUGCUUCCCUCAAAGACACGUGGCUUCUUCUAAUCAUCCAUCAUUACCAGUUUCUUUAGUGCUAUGGGGUUUUUCUUAAUUCCACUGGUGGACUUUAGAAGGAAGGAGGGAGGAA